GUACUGUGCGAACGUUAUUCGGAAUCACUGGGCUUAAAGGGUGCGUAGGCGGCUGGAUAAGUAGGGUGUGAAAUCCCUCGGCUCAACCGAGGAACUGCGCUCUAAACUGUCCGGCUUGAGUGAGAUAGGGGUGUGCGGAACUUCCAGUGGAGCGGUGAAAUGUGUUGAUAUUGGAAGGAACGCCGGUGGCGAAAGCGGCACACUGGGUCUCAACUGACGCUGAGGCACGAAAGCCAGGGGUAGCGAACGGGAUUAGAUACCCCGGUAGUCCUGGCCGUAAACGUUGAGCACUAGUUGGGAGGGUUUCGGCCUCUUCGAACGUAGCGAAAGCAUUAAGUGCUCCGCCUGGGGGAGUAUGGUCGCAAGGCUG
RNAcentral lists this ribosomal RNA (370 nucleotides) under uncultured organism. RNAcentral's name for it is "partial 16S ribosomal RNA". It matches the Rfam family "Bacterial small subunit ribosomal RNA", at positions 527 to 896 of the family's 1533-position model. The record is from RNAcentral.